Pelobates cultripes (western spadefoot toad) is the source of this 311-nucleotide non-coding RNA. NCBI's taxonomy places the organism in Eukaryota, Metazoa, Chordata, Amphibia, Anura, Pelobatidae. The record is from the annotation of a GenBank genome assembly.
CCCGGACCGCAGAACAACGUGGAGCAUACCCGGGGAGCCCUCUCCCCGACAAUGCUAUCCAGAACAUAUGAUGCCCAGACACACUUCCCACGCGUCAUGGGGUGCAACCGAUUACGGUAUUUCCCCCUCCCCCCAUGCCCCUCCUGGAGUCCGUCCCAAGCACCGGGCCCCCCGCGGCAUGAGGGAGCAUAUCACCAAUAAACAACGCCUUCACCACUGCUCCCCCAGUAUUUCGCGACAUGCGCAAGUCAAGGAGGCCAUACUAGCGCCCUGCAGCAGUGUCCUGUGCCACCCUAUCCGCCCACCUCCCG